UGGCGAACGGGUGAGUAACACGUGAGUAACCUGCCCCAGACUCUGGGAUAACCCCGGGAAACCGGAGCUAAUACCGGAUAUGACACGAAGAGGCAUCUCUAUCGUGUGGAAAGUUUUUCGGUCUGGGAUGGACUCGCGGCCUAUCAGCUAGUUGGUGAGGUAAUGGCUCACCAAGGCGACGACGGGUAGCCGGCCUGAGAGGGCGACCGGCCACACUGGGACUGAGACACGGCCCAG
This 237-nucleotide ribosomal RNA is filed under the name uncultured bacterium. Its description in RNAcentral is "partial 16S ribosomal RNA". It matches the Rfam family "Bacterial small subunit ribosomal RNA", at positions 96 to 334 of the family's 1533-position model. The record is from RNAcentral.